Molecule: ribosomal RNA, 468 nt
Filed under: uncultured bacterium
Lineage: Bacteria
Description: partial 16S ribosomal RNA
Rfam family: Bacterial small subunit ribosomal RNA
Source: RNAcentral
GACGAACGCUGGCGGCGUGCUUAACACAUGCAAGUCGAACGGGAAGGCCCGUUUUAUGUGGGGUGCUCGAGUGGCGAGCGGGUGAGCAAGACGUGGGUAUCCUGCCCAUGACUUGAGGAUAACUUCAAGAAACUGGGGCUAAUACCGGAUAGGAGGUCCUGCUGCAUAGUAGGGGUUGGAAAGUGUCGGCGGUGGGGGUUGGACCAUCGGCUAGUCAGCUGGUGGGUGGGGUAGUGGCUUACCAGGGAGUUGACGGGUAGCCGGCCUGGGAGGGUGACGGGCCACAUUGGGACGGAGACAACGCCCACGGGACUCCGGAGGGAGGCAGCGGGGGAUAUUGCACAAUGGGCGGCGGACUGAUGCAGCAACGACGAGGGCGGGAUGACGGGCGUCGACUUGUAAACCGCUUCCGCAUGCGACGAAGAGUGAGUGACGGGAACGGAGGAAGAAGCACCGGCUAACUCCGUG